AUGGAGUUUCAAAAAUAUUCAGCUGUGAAAUUUGCAAUCUUACUGAUUUUCGUUAUCAUUACAUCAGAUAUGUGUAAGAUAUCAGAAGCAAGAGAGGGUCCACUUGUUUCACUUGGCUGUCAACGUGAUGAAACUUGUGAAAGUCGUUAUCCAAAUCUUGGUUGUAAAUGUGUUCGGUCUUUAUGCAGUUGUCCAGGAGAUUCUCCGAAGUUAAUCAACACUUUAUUACCACCCGAGUUAACUAGAUAA
Vicia faba (fava bean) is the source of this 249-nucleotide non-coding RNA. The record is from the annotation of a GenBank genome assembly. Lineage: Eukaryota; Viridiplantae; Streptophyta; Magnoliopsida; Fabales; Fabaceae.